GGGCUUGUGGGCCUUGGGCCCAAGCCCAACGUCCAUUAACUAAAACUCUAAAUAUAUAUAAUAAGUGUUGAACCUUAUCUUCGUUCAUUUUGAUACCAGACAACAAACACACACAUAUUCAUUGGCCCUCUCUCUCCCUCUCGACUAAACUCCGGCGACCGGAGCAGAAUCUGGCCGGCCGGUGCCGGUUUCCGGCACCUCACUCCCCUCACACAUACCCACUUCUCCUGGUCCUCUUUUUCUGAUGAACAGCGCCCGCGACAUGCCGGCUGGUGCUGGUCGUAUUCCGGCAGACCACUCGGGAAACCUCAUCACUUCGGCUCGGUUCUCAGGCGACAGACUCCCCCCCUCCGAUGAACAUCAGCAAUGGCAGCACUGGUAAACAACUCGGUCCGGCGGUCGGCGUCUUGACCUGGCGGUCAGAGACCCGGUCCGACGGUCGGCGUCAAGGACCGGCGGUCCUUGUCUUUAUCCGACAGGCUUCACCGGUGAUGAUGCUGAUGAGGUCAGCGGUGAUGGUGCUCGAUGAAAUCGCCGGCGACGGUUGUGGAGUCCGAAGACGAUAGGGGUGUCCGACUCGGGUUCAGCUCAGAUUCGGGUUCGGAAUUCGGGUCUCGGCUCAGAUCGGGUUCGAUUCGGUCAGAAUGGUCAAUUUCAGAUGUGGUUCGAGUCAACUCGGUCAACUCAGACAAUGCGAGUCAACUCAGCUCGGUGCGAGUCAACACAGCGGGUACGGGUCAGACGGUUCGGGUCACGGCUUCUGUUCACAUGUUCGGAUCAAGUUCAG
Long non-coding RNA from Helianthus annuus (common sunflower), 787 nucleotides. RefSeq lists it as uncharacterized. The record is from RefSeq and is a predicted model, not a curated record. The transcript has 3 exons. Lineage: Eukaryota; Viridiplantae; Streptophyta; Magnoliopsida; Asterales; Asteraceae.